This 18-nucleotide small RNA is filed under the name Arabidopsis thaliana (thale cress). RNAcentral describes it as "ATSL238890". The record is from RNAcentral. Lineage: Eukaryota; Viridiplantae; Streptophyta; Magnoliopsida; Brassicales; Brassicaceae.
AUAAGAAGAAGAAAAAAU